Molecule: ribosomal RNA, 899 nt
Filed under: uncultured bacterium
Lineage: Bacteria
Description: bacterial SSU rRNA
Rfam family: Bacterial small subunit ribosomal RNA
Source: RNAcentral
GAGUUUGAUCCUGGCUCAGGACGAACGCUGGCGGCGUGCUUAACACAUGCAAGUCGAACGGUAAGGCCCCAGCUUGCUGGGGUACACGAGUGGCGAACGGGUGAGUAACACGUGGGUGACCUACCCUGCACUUCGGGAUAAGCCUGGGAAACUGGGUCUAAUACCGGAUAGGACUACACCGUGAGGGUGUGGUGGAAAGUUUUUCGGUGCAGGAUGGGCCCGCGGCCUAUCAGCUUGUUGGUGGGGUAAUGGCCUACCAAGGCGGCGACGGGUAGCCGGCCUGAGAGGGUGGACGGCCACAUUGGGACUGAGACACGGCCCAGACUCCUACGGGAGGCAGCAGUGGGGAAUAUUGCACAAUGGGCGGAAGCCUGAUGCAGCGACGCCGCGUGGGGGAUGACGGCCUUCGGGUUGUAAACUCCUUUCACCAUCGACGAAGGUUUUCUGACGGUAGAUGGAGAAGAAGCACCGGCUAACUACGUGCCAGCAGCCGCGGUAAUACGUAGGGUGCGAGCGUUGUCCGGAAUUACUGGGCGUAAAGAGCUCGUAGGUGGUUUGUCGCGUCGUCUGUGAAAUUCCGGGGCUUAACUCCGGGCGUGCAGGCGAUACGGGCAUAACUUGAGUACUGUAGGGGAGACUGGAAUUCCUGGUGUAGCGGUGAAAUGCGCAGAUAUCAGGAGGAACACCGGUGGCGAAGGCGGGUCUCUGGGCAGUAACUGACGCUGAGGAGCGAAAGCAUGGGUAGCGAACAGGAUUAGAUACCCUGGUAGUCCAUGCCGUAAACGGUGGGCGCUAGGUGUAGGGGUCUUCCACGACUUCUGUGCCGUAGCUAACGCAUUAAGCGCCCCGCCUGGGGAGUACGGCCGCAAGGCUAAAACUCAAAGGAAUUGACGGGGGCC